UAGGCUGCAACUCGCCUACACGAAGCUGGAAUCGCUAGUAAUCGCGGAUCAGCACGCCGCGGUGAAUACGUUCCCGGGCCUUGUACACACCGCCCGUCACACCAUGAGAGUUGGGAAUACCCGAAGCCUGUGAGCUAACGAAAGAGGCAGCAGUCGAAGGUAGAAUCAAUGAUUGGGGUGAAGUCGUAACAAGGUAGC
This 198-nucleotide ribosomal RNA is filed under the name uncultured bacterium. RNAcentral's name for it is "partial 16S ribosomal RNA". It matches the Rfam family "Bacterial small subunit ribosomal RNA", at positions 1301 to 1500 of the family's 1533-position model. The record is from RNAcentral.